RNAcentral lists this small nuclear RNA (194 nucleotides) under Callithrix jacchus (white-tufted-ear marmoset). Lineage: Eukaryota; Metazoa; Chordata; Mammalia; Primates; Cebidae. The record is from RNAcentral.
AGCUUUGUGCAGUGGCAGUAUCAUAGCCAAUGAAGUUUGUCCGAGGUGCAAUUAUUGCUAAUUGAAAUUACACGAUGAAACAAAAUAAACCUUAUCUCAUUCAAGUAAAAAAAAUAAAAUAGCGCUUGCUUCAGCAGCACAUAUACAAAAAUUAGAAUGAUACAGAGAAAAUUAGCAUGGCCUUUGCAUGAGGA